Molecule: non-coding RNA, 91 nt
Filed under: Pseudomonas sp. NFPP11
Lineage: Bacteria; Pseudomonadati; Pseudomonadota; Gammaproteobacteria; Pseudomonadales; Pseudomonadaceae
Also listed under: 1 other name
Source: RNAcentral
AAAACUGAUACUCCCGUGUGCGGGAGACUUUUGAGUCUACCCGGGGUGCUCUCAGACCCGGAUCGCUAACCUGCACACAGCUGCCACCCUC